UGUGCUAUGGCUUAGCUUCUUAAAUUGCCUGUCUAGUAAACAGGAGAUCCUGAGUUCAAAUCCCAGUGGUACCU
RNAcentral lists this transfer RNA (74 nucleotides) under Alligator mississippiensis (American alligator). It matches the Rfam family "tRNA". From Rfam's summary of the family: Transfer RNA (tRNA) molecules are approximately 80 nucleotides in length. Their secondary structure includes four short double-helical elements and three loops (D, anti-codon, and T loops). Lineage: Eukaryota; Metazoa; Chordata; Crocodylia; Alligatoridae. The record is from Rfam by way of RNAcentral.